RNAcentral lists this ribosomal RNA (297 nucleotides) under Escherichia coli. RNAcentral describes it as "partial 23S ribosomal RNA". It matches the Rfam family "Bacterial large subunit ribosomal RNA", at positions 1291 to 1591 of the family's 2925-position model. The record is from RNAcentral. Lineage: Bacteria; Pseudomonadati; Pseudomonadota; Gammaproteobacteria; Enterobacterales; Enterobacteriaceae.
CGAAUGCUGACAUAAGUAACGAUAAAGCGGGUGAAAAGCCCGCUCGCCGGAAGACCAAGGGUUCCUGUCCAACGUUAAUCGGGGCAGGGUGAGUCGACCCCUAAGGCGAGGCCGAAAGGCGUAGUCGAUGGGAAACAGGUUAAUAUUCCUGUACUUGGUGUUACUGCGAAGGGGGGACGGAGAAGGCUAUGUUGGCCGGGCGACGGUUGUCCCGGUUUAAGCGUGUAGGCUGGUUUUCCAGGCAAAUCCGGAAAAUCAAGGCUGAGGCGUGAUGACGAGGCACUACGGUGCUGAAGC